Molecule: ribosomal RNA, 547 nt
Filed under: Semibalanus balanoides (northern acorn barnacle)
Lineage: Eukaryota; Metazoa; Arthropoda; Thecostraca; Balanomorpha; Balanidae
Description: SSU rRNA
Rfam family: Eukaryotic small subunit ribosomal RNA
Source: RNAcentral
CCGGACACCGUAAGGAUUGACAGACUGAUAGCUCUCUCUUGAUUCAGUGGGUGNUGGNGCAUGACNGUUCUUAGUUGGUGGAGUNAUUUGUCUGGUUUAUUCCGAUAACGAACGAGACUCUGGCCUAUUAAACUUGACGCUGUCAGUCUCUUGUGACUGCGGCGCGCUUCUUAGAGGGAUCAUCGGCGUCCCAGCNGAAGGAAAGGGAGCAAUAACAGGUCUGUGAUGCCCUUAGAUGUUCUGGGCUGCACGCGUGUUACACUGAAGUGGUCAGCGCGCCGUUCAACGUCCCUCUCCGUGAGGAGCGGGCAAACGUUUGAACCCUUUUCGUGAUGGGAAUUGGGGGUUGCAAUUGUCCCCCAUGAACGAGGAAUUCCAAGUAAGCGCAAGUCACUAGCUUGCGUUGAUUAAGUCCCUGCCCUUUGUACACACCGCCCGUCGCUACUACCGAUGGAUGAUUUGGUGAGGUCGCCUAGACUGGCUGCUGGCUUCGGCCGUNCGGCCGGGAAGACGCNCAAANUUGGUCGUCUAGAGGAAGUAAAAGUCG